UUAGCCUAGUGGUUAAUGGGUCUUUAAUGUUUCUACACCAAGAAAUCUGGGUUUCGAGUCUCAGAAGGUGCGAUUUAUUAUUAAUUUGCAGAUUAAUGGAGACAAGAUUACAUAAUAGUUCUCAUAAUUUGUAAUAGAAUAAUAGAUCAAUGUUAAAAAAAAAAAAACGAGCAGGAUCUGGGAAGGCUUGGUCAAAACAGUCUUGGGAAACAGAUGGUCGACGAACUGGCGUCAAAUAUUGGACACUCUGCAAGCUCUGAGGCGUAAUUGCUCGGAAACGCUUAUCCUUCGAUAUGCUCUGCAAAUGGCUGUACACACAAUUUGGAGAGAGCGAAACAACAGGCGACAUGGUGAAGAGCAUCGGUCUUACCAGCAGUUGCUCAGGGAAAUGGAUGUCAACAUGCGAAAUCGACUAAGCACAGCGAGAUUAAAGGGCUCUAGAUAUGAUGAUGGGUUACAGCGGUGGUUCGCCACCCGGGUGGCCUAAAAAAUUUCUAUUGAUGUUCUUGCUUUUAAUUUCUGAAGCUUUAAACCUUUAAAGUUUGUUGUAAG
This 552-nucleotide long non-coding RNA is filed under the name Eutrema salsugineum. RNAcentral describes it as "long non-coding RNA (ESAL_LNC001575)". Lineage: Eukaryota; Viridiplantae; Streptophyta; Magnoliopsida; Brassicales; Brassicaceae. The record is from RNAcentral.